AACGAACGCUGGCGGCAUGCCUAACACAUGCAAGUCGAACGAGACCUUCGGGCCUAGUGACGCACGGGUGCGUAACGCGUGGGAAUCUGCCCUUGGGUUCGGAAUAACUCGCCGAAAGGCGUGCUAAUACCGGAUGGUGUCGUAAGACCAAAGGUUUAUCGCCCAGGGAUGAGCCCGCGUAAGAUUAGGUAGUUGGUGAGGUAAAGGCUCACCAAGCCGACGAUCUUUAGCUGGCCUGAGAGGAUGAUCAGCCACACUGGGUCUGAGACACGGCCCAG
RNAcentral lists this ribosomal RNA (278 nucleotides) under uncultured bacterium. RNAcentral describes it as "partial 16S ribosomal RNA". It matches the Rfam family "Bacterial small subunit ribosomal RNA", at positions 29 to 334 of the family's 1533-position model. The record is from RNAcentral.